RNAcentral lists this ribosomal RNA (471 nucleotides) under uncultured bacterium. Its description in RNAcentral is "bacterial SSU rRNA". It matches the Rfam family "Bacterial small subunit ribosomal RNA", at positions 20 to 507 of the family's 1533-position model. The record is from RNAcentral.
UGGCUCAGGACACGCUUGGCGGCGCGCCUAACACAUGCAAGUCGAACGAGAGAUGAAGAGCUUGCUCUUCAGAUCGAGUGGCGAACGGGUGAGUAACGCGUGAGGAACCUGCCUCAAAGAGGGGGACAACAGUUGGAAACGACUGCUAAUACCGCAUAAGCGCACGGUAUCGCAUGAUACAGUGUGAAAAACUCCGGUGGUAUAAGAUGGACCCGCGUCUGAUUAGCUUGUUGGUGAGGUAACGGCCCACCAAGGCGACGAUCGGUAGCCGGACUGAGAGGUUGAACGGCCACAUUGGGACUGAGACACGGCCCAGACUCCUACGGGAGGCAGCAGUGGGGAAUAUUGCACAAUGGGGGAAACCCUGAUGCAGCGACGCCGCGUGGAGGAAGAAGGUCUUCGGAUUGUAAACUCCUGUUGUUGAGGAAGAUAAUGACGGUACUCAACAAGGAAGUGACGGCUAACUACGUG